GAUGAAGAACGCAGCGAAAUGUGAUACGUAAUGUGAAUUGCAAAUUCAGUGAAUCAUCGAAUCUUUGAACGCACAUUGCACCUCUCGGUAUUCCGGGAGGUAUGCCUGUUCGAGCGUCAUUUGUACCCUCAAGCUCUGCUUGGUGUUGGGUGUUUGUUCCGCCUCUGUGUGUGAACUCGCCUCAAAACAAUUGGCAGCCGGCGUACUUGUUUCGGAGCGCAGCACAUUUUGCGAUCCAGAUCAACGUACAGCGGCAUCCAAGAAGCCUUAUUUAACGCUCUUGACCUCGGAUCAGGUAGGGAUACCCGCUGAACUUAAGCAUAUCAAUAAGCGGAGGA
This 338-nucleotide unclassified non-coding RNA is filed under the name soil metagenome. Its description in RNAcentral is "partial contains 5.8S ribosomal RNA, internal transcribed spacer 2, and large subunit ribosomal RNA". The stretch from base 1 to 119 matches the Rfam family "5.8S ribosomal RNA", at positions 35 to 154 of the family's 154-position model. The record is from RNAcentral.